RNAcentral lists this long non-coding RNA (1883 nucleotides) under Nicotiana tabacum (common tobacco). Its description in RNAcentral is "long non-coding RNA (NTAB_LNC002918)". The record is from RNAcentral. Lineage: Eukaryota; Viridiplantae; Streptophyta; Magnoliopsida; Solanales; Solanaceae.
GUCCAACAAGCUAAUAAUAUCCAUAAAAGCAAAUGUUCUACCCCAAGUGCAUAAGUUUAAUACAUUUCAAGAUAGUUAGUUUCAAAAUGUUGACAACAAAAUAUUCCUAGAACAUUCAUCUAUAGCAAUUCAAAAUUCAUCUUUAAGUAAGGUCUAGAUCUUCAUUGCCUUCAUCUUCUAUUUCUUGAUCUACUCCACCUAUAAAAGAGGAUAAAUAAAGUCAUUACCUUUCAUCUUGAAUGCCUAGACUAAAUAAAUUGAUCAAAAAAGAAAAAGAAAAUAAUGGGCAUACAAGAUGCUAGUCACGAGCCUAGCUCUUCUACAGAAACACAUUAUCUAGACCCAAAUUUGGACAUUAAAUGUACAUACAAGCUACUAAAAAGGAACAACAUAUCAAAUUAAUCCCGUUAUAGGAUUUAAAAGGAAAAGAAGUCAGUUUGCACAAAUUUGGUUUUGUGACCACUAGCUAAUUCCUGAUUUCAUAUCACAACAUAUGCCAGAGUAAGGAAAUUAUAUAGGAAGGAAUAACAAUUAUAAUAACUUUUUUCUGCAAAUGAGUCGACCAAAUAAUAACCAACAGUGAAUAAUAAGUAGUGCAAUCAACUUACCAUACUAAUUCAAUACAUUGACAAUGUUAAAGUACCUGCAACAUUUACUCUUCAUACUGAACUUUUCUUUUGAAAAGGUAAGGUAGUGUUAUAAAUCCAGAACUAACAAUGUGCUAUUGUAGCUUUAAAUAAUUAACAGAGGCAGAAAAAGUAAAAGGAUAAGCCCCAAAAAACCAAUCUUGUAAUAAUUCUAACACCUGAAGAACAAUUUCAACCUCAUUUACAUGUUCCAUCCACACCAAAAGCAAGAAUAGGAUGUUAAUGGAGUCCCCUCCACGGCCUUUGAUAAUUGGAAAAAGCACCAGAUUUAUCCUUUCCUAUUGUAAACUCAAUAAAUAUUGCAAAGUCUAAUAUUGCAUAGUCCAAAUAUAUUUUGACAAACUCAUGAUAAAGACCAAACAAGACACAAAGUUUAGACCUUUCAGAUAAAUAAAACAAAUUACCUCUCUUCCUCAACUUUAUUCUAUAAUCGUAAAAUCCCUAUAUUUAACAAAAAAUUGUAGCUAUUUAGACAUAAGUAUCCUAUACUAGCCCAAAAAAAAAUCACUUCAUAACUAGACCAAAAAAUGCAAGUAACCUAACAGAAAGCUAGCAGUGGUUUUCUCGUAAAAUGAUGGGCAAAAUGGAUGAAUUCUGGAGUACAUUUUCAGUGCAACAAUCUUUCACAACAUCACAGGUAGUACAUGGUCAAGAGUACACAACAAUAAGCAAGUGGACACCAUACGACUAUAGGUACACAGGCAGCAGAUUUGAACACACCACAACAGCUAUCUCGAUGCAUCACAGAAUAAAACAAUAAGGGAUAGACAAAGUACAGAGGGAUAUGAUGCAGCAUGCUUACACGCAAUCAUAAUAUGGAAUAAAUGCAAAAGUUCCAACAGGAAACAAAGAGAUGAAUGCCAGAUACCAAAGGAAAGACAAUCACCUAUCCAGGGAAGAUAUGCUGAGAGGAAAAUCAAAAACUCAGCCAACAAUAUGGUGCUGGAAACAAUACUGUCCUCAAAAAACAAGAUCCAUCGACAUAGGAUGCAAGCUCAAACACUAGAGUUAAAACACACAAGUGUUGACAAGUACAAGAGAAAGGGUCAAAAUGACGAUCAGUAGCGUGCAAAUAAGCAAAAUUACUACAUAUGUAGUAUCUCUGCCCCUCUGCCCGAGGUAAGAUCUGCGUACAUAUUACCCUCCCCAGACCCCACUUGUGGGAUUACACUGGGGUUGUUGUUGUUGUUGUACUACAUAUGUAGCAUCAUAGUGAUUAAACAUGCUAUUCUAUUU